UACGGAGGGUGCAAGCGUUAAUCGGAAUUACUGGGCGUAAAGCGCGCGUAGGCGGUUUUUUAAGUCGGAUGUGAAAGCCCCGGGCUCAACCUGGGAACUGCAUCCGAUACUGGAAGACCAGAAUGCGGGAGAGGGAGGUAGAAUUCCAUGUGUAGCAGUGAAAUGCGUAGAUAUAUGGAGGAAUACCAGUGGCGAAGGCGGCCUCCUGGCUCGACAUUGACGCUGAGGUGCGAAAGCGUGGGGAGCAAACGGG
This 253-nucleotide ribosomal RNA is filed under the name uncultured bacterium. Its description in RNAcentral is "partial 16S ribosomal RNA". It matches the Rfam family "Bacterial small subunit ribosomal RNA", at positions 524 to 776 of the family's 1533-position model. The record is from RNAcentral.